CUGUCCUGCAUGAAGGUGUCUUGGAGCAGAGAUGCUCAGAAAAAAUGAGGCUCAUGGUGUUCCAUGGUUCCCUUCUGGUGGCUGCAGAGCUGAGGAUGUCCCUCAGAGCUGGCACAGACAUCUCAGGUUUGCUCAGUGGAGAAGGGAUGUGCUGAGCUCUCCCCUUGCCUUGGCUCAACAGAGCCGACACGAUGGGAGAAAAGGCAGGUUCUGCUCAAUGAAGAUAUCUCUGUUUCACCACUGCUUCUUCCUCCGGAAGAAAAAUGAUUCCUCCAGGUCCUGACAUCUGCUGCUAUUUAAAGGAUCAUCAUCAUCACCACUCCAGCCCUCCUGGGGCCUCAAGGCACUCAGCAAAUAACCUUUCAAUUGCCAGGGCAAUAAAAGAUGUCAGGGGUGAUUAAAGACGUGGCAGCUGCUGCUCUGUAUCUCCAUGCAGUCAAGUCCUUCAGAUUUUCCUCGCUCCCACUGGGACAGAGUUUUCCAGUAUUCAGUACCAGUCUCCAGCACACCCUGAGCAAGCUGAGGGUGUUGAGCACCCAGCUGGAUUCAGUCCAGGUUCAGCACAUCUCUCUGAGCUCCCUGUUCCCGUCCAUCUGCUCAUGUCCAUCCCUGCAGUGCUGGGUGUCCUGUCCCUGGGCUCAGCUGGGAGCGUGUGGUCCUUUGCACAGUGCCUGGAGUAUUGCUUACAUAUGGUAGCUGGAGUCAGGCACUGCAGGGAGCAACUUGGAGGUUCCCCGAGCAAUCUGAAGGGAUCUGAGGGAAUCCAGCCCCUGGGAUGGGGUGAACCCAGAUGCUGCAGCUGCUUCAAGCUUUUUGCAGAUAUACUUUUGACAGAAGCUGAAAAAACCUCCCUGGGCUGGAGGGAGGAACUGGACCUGCACCUCUUGCAUCUCAACUGAGGGCCUUGACAACUGAGUAUGGUGCAGACAGUAACAAAAUCAAUG
Hirundo rustica (Barn swallow) is the source of this 944-nucleotide long non-coding RNA. RefSeq lists it as uncharacterized. NCBI's taxonomy places the organism in Eukaryota, Metazoa, Chordata, Aves, Passeriformes, Hirundinidae. The transcript is spliced from 4 exons. The record is from RefSeq and is a predicted model, not a curated record.